This 253-nucleotide ribosomal RNA is filed under the name uncultured bacterium. RNAcentral's name for it is "partial 16S ribosomal RNA". It matches the Rfam family "Bacterial small subunit ribosomal RNA", at positions 524 to 776 of the family's 1533-position model. The record is from RNAcentral.
GACGAACCGUCCAAACGUUAUUCGGAAUUACUGGGCUUAAAGGGUUCGUAGGCGGCUUUGUAAGUGAGAUGUGAAAUCCCACGGCUCAACCGUGGAAGUGCAUUUCAUACUGCAAGGCUUGAGGGAGACAGAGGUAAGCGGAACUGAUGGUGGAGCGGUGAAAUGCGUUGAUAUCAUCAGGAACACCGGUGGCGAAAGCGGCUUACUGGGUCUCUUCUGACGCUGAGGAACGAAAGCUAGGGGAGCGAACGGG